Ahaetulla prasina is the source of this 418-nucleotide long non-coding RNA. RefSeq lists it as uncharacterized. The record is from RefSeq and is a predicted model, not a curated record. The transcript has 3 exons. NCBI's taxonomy places the organism in Eukaryota, Metazoa, Chordata, Lepidosauria, Squamata, Colubridae.
UGUACGCUGUGUGAGAGUCCAACCCCGCCCUAUGUUCCUUUAUUGUUUUCUUUGUUCUAUGCAGGGGUCUGGAGGUUCUUGGUCCGUUUCCAGUUCCCAAUUGAGUUCGUCUUCUCAAGUACCGGUUCUUCGUUAAUAAACUGGAGCUAAGCAGGAAGAGGAGGCGUGUUUAAACAAAUUCAACUCAGUCUCUGACCAAUCAGCUGAAGUUAACAACCCAUUGCUUUGGACUCUCACGCAGCGUACAUAGAAGGAACCUUCAGCUCCUUGUGUACCUGGGGAUGGAAAUAGCAGUGAAAAACCGACAGAGGAAAUACUGUACAAGACCCACUCUGGACACAUUUUGUGGCAAAGAGAACGAAGGACUAAAGAACUAUCUGCAAACUGAUCCGCACUUACACUGGAAUAAAUCUCAGGU